This 328-nucleotide ribosomal RNA is filed under the name uncultured eukaryote. Its description in RNAcentral is "partial 18S ribosomal RNA". It matches the Rfam family "Eukaryotic small subunit ribosomal RNA", at positions 1470 to 1796 of the family's 1831-position model. The record is from RNAcentral.
CCCUUAGAUGUCCGGGGCUGCACGCGCGCUACACUGAAGGAAUCAGCGUGCUAAAACCAUUGUCGAAAGGCAUUGGUAAACCCAUUAACAUCCUACGUGAUUGGGAUCGGGAAUUGCAAUUAUUUCCCUUGAACGAGGAAUUCCCAGUAAGUGUGGGUCAUAAGCUCGCGUUGAUUACGUCCCUGCCCUUUGUACACACCGCCCGUCGCUGCCCGGGACUGAGCCGUUUCGAGAAAAGCGGGGACUGCUGCUGUCGGGGCUUUCGGGCCUUGGCUUCGGUGGAAACCGCUUUAAUCGCAGUGGCUUGAACCGGGCAAAAGUCGUAACA